GGGGAUUUAGCUCAGCGGCAUAAGCGCCUGCCUUGCAAGCAGGCAGUUGUGAGUUCAAUCCCUA
Molecule: transfer RNA, 64 nt
Organism: Cavia porcellus (domestic guinea pig)
Lineage: Eukaryota; Metazoa; Chordata; Mammalia; Rodentia; Caviidae
Rfam family: tRNA
About the family: Transfer RNA (tRNA) molecules are approximately 80 nucleotides in length.
Source: Rfam